GAGGCUAUAUACAGUAGAGAGGCUAUAUACAGUAGAGAGGCUAUAUACAGUAGAGAGGCUAUAUACAGUAGAGAGGCUAUAUACAGUAGCGAGGCUAUAUACAGUAGAGAGGCUAUAUACAGUAGAGAGGCUAUUUUUUUUUUUUUUUUCACCUUUAUUUAACCAGGUAGGCUAGUUGAGAACAAGUUCUCAUUUGCAACUGCGACCUGGCCAAGAUAAAGCAUAGCAGUGUGAGCAGACAACACAGAGUUACACAUGGAAUAAACAAUUAACAAGUCAAUAACACAGUAGAAAACAAAGGGGGGAGUCUAUAUACAAUGUGUGCAAAAGGCAUGAGGAGGUAGGCGAAUAAUUACAAUUUUGCAGAUUAACACUGGAGUGAUAAAUGAUCAGAUGGUCAUGUACAGGUAGAGAUAUUGGUGUGCAAAAGAGCAGAAAAG
Oncorhynchus tshawytscha (Chinook salmon) is the source of this 440-nucleotide long non-coding RNA. The record is from Ensembl. NCBI's taxonomy places the organism in Eukaryota, Metazoa, Chordata, Actinopteri, Salmoniformes, Salmonidae.